GAUGAACGCUGGCGGCGUGCCUAAUACAUGCAAGUCGAGCGAACAGACGAGGAGCUUGCUCCUCUGACGUUAGCGGCGGACGGGUGAGUAACACGUGGAUAACCUACCUAUAAGACUGGGAUAACUUCGGGAAACCGUAGCUAAUACCGGAUAAUAUAUUGAACCGCAUGGUUCAAUAGUGAAAGACGGUUUUGCUGUCACUUAUAGAUGGAUCCGCGCCGCAUUAGCUAGUUGGUAAGGUAACGGCUUACCAAGGCAACGAUGCGUAGCCGACCUGAGAGGGUGAUCGGCCACACUGGAACUGAGACACGUUCCAGACUCCUACGGGAGGCAGCAGUAGGGAAUCUUCCGCAAUGGGCGAAAGCCUGACGGAGCAACGCCGCGUGAGUGAUGAAGGUCUUCGGAUCGUAAAACUCUGUUAUUAGGGAAGAACAAAUGUGUAAGUAACUAUGCACGUCUUGACGGUACCUAAUCAGAAAGCCACGGCUAACUACGUG
Molecule: ribosomal RNA, 497 nt
Filed under: uncultured bacterium
Lineage: Bacteria
Description: partial 16S ribosomal RNA
Rfam family: Bacterial small subunit ribosomal RNA
Source: RNAcentral